This 772-nucleotide long non-coding RNA is filed under the name Homo sapiens (human). RNAcentral's name for it is "non-protein coding LINC02126:11". The record is from RNAcentral. Lineage: Eukaryota; Metazoa; Chordata; Mammalia; Primates; Hominidae.
CUGCAGUUCAUUUAUUGCAGAGCCCUGUUCACAUGGGUUCUCAGAGACAUUUUCAUUCUCGCUUCUCACCACGCUGGAGAUGAGAACUAGAUGUGGUUUUCUAGAUACAGUCUACAUUUCCCUUUGAAUCUGGAAGUCCGGCUUCAAGCCCCUUUGAAGAGGCAGGCCCAUGGGAUGAAUUCUGACCAAUGGAUUUGGCUAAGAUUUAAGAGCCAGUGCACCAUCCUUCAGCUAACUCUUCUCUCCACCUGCUGCAAGGACAUAAACAUUUCAAUGGCACAAAGAUAGAGCACCUUGAAUUGUUACUGCAAAGAAGACAUCUUUUCUGGAGAGUCACCCAAGCAGUGGAUUUGUGAAUAAAUAAAUCUUGUGUUAAGGUUCUGAUAUUUUGUGGUUAAUUUGUGACCAUAGUACUACAUAGCCUAUUCUAAUGAAUAUGUAGUGACUAUCAGAAUCACUAGAGAACAUACAAACAUAAUUCAUAUUAUAGGUCAAAACUUCAGUCUACUAGCUUAAAAUUUUAAGCAUGGAGAGGAUAUCUCUAUGCUUACAAAGCUAAGAUAGUCUAAUAAUUAGCAAAUAUGAAAAACACUGUUAGAUGUCAGCUAGUUCCAUUUAGCCUUUCAAUCUGUUCCAAACUCUACUUUUAUACAUAUAAAAAUCAAAAGAAAGCCAAUAGAUGUGGAAGCUAAGCCUUGGGAAUCCUAAUAUAGCAUGAUGAGGAUUGUGAGUUUGACAAUUAGCUGUGCUAUUUAUUACUGGUGUAACUUUG